CGUAAAGCAAUGGUGAUCGAUCAAGCGCAAGGUGUCAAGUUCCAGAGCGGUAAAAUUCCGGAAGGGUUUUUCCACAGUUACCGAAUCCCAACCGUUAACUGCUGUGCGGGAAAACUCCAUCCGUCCGACAAUCAUUGUUCGAUUAAACAACACUGGACGAAAAAUCGGCAAUAAUUGAGUCCCUGAAGAAGGUCCUAAAUGAGACCGAAACGUCGGACAAGAUUAAAUAGCUGUAUUUGAUUUUUGUCAAGACUGGAAGAGCCAUUUUCACUCCAGCAACGACCCGAAUGGGAUCGGACAAGACACCGUUGUGCAGUACUCUGCACGAAAAUGCCUCGUACUGUGCUUCAAUGAGGCCGAUGAUUUUCUCAGGGCCACCCUGGCGCCUAAGCGCUCCCCACAUGUUUUCGUGAUUGAGACGGUCGGGAGAUUUUUCUUUAUCAAUGAACAUCAGGUAGAGAGACUUUUGGAGUUCAUUGAUUUGCUCCAGAAUGAUACAGAACGUGACAAUAUGGUCCACACAGGAUCGUCCAGCAUGUUAUUGGAAUCCUGCUUGCUGCCGCCGGAGAGUUGCGUUAAUCUACUCCUGUAUCUGGUUAAGGAUAACACUGCAGAUGACUUUGAGGACGAUACUCAGUAACUUCUUUACUAAGAUGCCUUGCAUCCAGUCGACUGGAAAUGUCGCGGUUUCGCAUAUGUUGCAAAAUAACUGAAGCAGUAGUUGUGCAGAUACUACGGGGUUAGCUUUCAACAUCUGGGCUGAUAUGUGAUCGUCCCCCGGGACCCAGUUUGACUCCAUGCUACGGAUGGCUGUUUCUAUCUCCUGCAAUGAUGGAGCUUCGGUGUAGACACGGGUAAGGCAGAUCAUGCUGAGAUGUUGAUGACGUAGCCGACUCUUGAAAGCGUUUUCUAAAGUGCUCCAAGCAGCGUUUCAGCCAAUAGCUGCUCAGACGUUUUAUUCACGGGUAUCGUAGCAUUCGUCUUGACAUCGUGAGACAUCGCAGAGAAUACAAUUGUUGCCGGUAUUUUUGGCUCUCUCGCCUUCGUCGUCUAGGGAAUCCGCUCACGCUCUUUUGUAUCUUCUACAGGAGCGUUACACUUCCUUCUCGAGAGUGGAAUAGCGCUGACGGGCUAUGGUUUUGGCUCCUCGUAUUUUCUGUCGCUCUAUCGCGGCUUUGGUGUUCCUUCGCUCCUCUAUCUUCCACCAGGUAUCAUUUGUGAUAGGGUAACCUGGGUUAUACGCACCCCCGGGACAAAACACCCUCACGCUAUUUAACUAUAUAAGCUCCGUCAGAUGCAAGCAAACUAGACGCAAAAUUAAAACGAGCAAGACCAAGAAUGACAAAAAUAUUCGAAUGAAAAGCGUGGAAAACGAUGAUUUUCCACAUUUGGAAAGAUUGUCUAAUAUGAAGCGCACGCAAUUUAAGUGAUUGCGCGCCGAAUAUAUGGAAUCAAUAUAGGGUGACAAUGGGUAUUAUCGGCAGGUUUGUUCUCUUCGUCAUGGGGGGUUUUUGUCAGCCAAAUUGCCUGAAACUUGGUCAUAUAAUUCAGCUUAGUUGGGAAGGAUUUGAGACCAACUUUGAGUUCAAUAGGUUUCAAAAAACCCCCAAAGACGAAGAGAACAAAACGGCCGAGAAUAGGUAAUUUCCCCUA
This is a long non-coding RNA of Aedes albopictus (Asian tiger mosquito), 1653 nucleotides long. RefSeq lists it as uncharacterized. NCBI's taxonomy places the organism in Eukaryota, Metazoa, Arthropoda, Insecta, Diptera, Culicidae. The transcript is spliced from 3 exons. The record is from RefSeq and is a predicted model, not a curated record.